This is a long non-coding RNA of Dipodomys spectabilis (banner-tailed kangaroo rat), 1206 nucleotides long. RefSeq lists it as uncharacterized. The record is from RefSeq and is a predicted model, not a curated record. NCBI's taxonomy places the organism in Eukaryota, Metazoa, Chordata, Mammalia, Rodentia, Heteromyidae. The transcript is spliced from 2 exons.
GCCUCAUGCAUCUGAGGCAAGCGCUCUACCACUGAGCCAACUUCCUGUAUUCAACCAAUGGCUUGCUAGAUAACAAAAUUCACAUGCCAUUUAUACUAUUUCUUCCUUUAUCACUUUCUUUCCAAAACUAACAAAAAAAUGACUAUUCAUACACUUCUACUAUGUAUCCCUUUGACAGGAAUUUAUUUUGUAACUAAGGCUUUUAUGUCCUUCUGCAUUUAGUUGUUAAAUGAAAAGUAGCAUUUUUACAGUAACCUCAGUAAUUUCCAGUUGGAAAUGUAUCUCCUAAAUUAUUAAUGUAGACAAAGCACUUUGUUGUACAAUAAAAUGACACUACACCUAUAAAGACAAAUUUGUAUUUCUAUAAUUACAUAAGCAGAAAUCAUUUACUUUAUUGGCUUAAUGGACUGUGUGUAAUGGAAUGAAAUUCUUCAAUGGUGUGGCAUGUGUCUUAUCAACGAGCACGCGGUUUUGGAAGAUGUUUAUACAUUUAUUUACUGAACAAAAACUUUUAAAACAACUUAUGUGUUCUGGAUACUAUACUAGGUGCUGGAAGGAAUAACUAGAUCAUGCUUUACCACUCAAAUCUGUAUCACAUGUAUAUCUAUCUGAUUACAACUUAGGACCAGAAGAUGACCCAAGAUGUAAAACCUCUUUUUAGUAUGUUGAAAAUGUGGCUAAUUUUGUUCUGUACUCUGUGAAGUGACCUAUAGAAUAACUAAACUCUAACACAGAAAGAUUUUAGUAUACGACUUAAUAUAAGAUUUUUUUUCCCUCAAUUUUCCAGUUUCUGGAUUAGGGAACCAUCCUGAUUUACAUUCACAUUUUCAAAAGACUCAGUACUCAGUGUCUUCUGAUUUAAUUUCACAUAGUGAUUUACACUAAUUAUUACUGAUGCCUUAUGCAGGUGGACAAACUAAUUUAAUAGAUUCAUUAUACCAGUUAAAAUUAAUAUAAGACAUACAAAUAAACCUCAAGGUUUGAUAAACUAGGAAACAAUAGAACAAAAUGAAAAUAAAAGUAUUCAUAAUAAAAUGAUGAGUUUACCAAAUGAAUGUAUUGACAAGUUUGACAAAUAUUUAUUUGAGGAUGUUGUAACAAAAAGCAUUGCUAUGUUUAUUGGGAAAACUUUUUCAGAAAGUACAAUUCUCAAAAAUUAAAGUAGUGAUUUACUUUUUUUUUUUUUUUUUUGUCGGUCAUGGGGCC